GACGAACGCUGGCGGCGUGCCUAAUACAUGCAAGUCGAGCGAAGUUUUUCUGGUGCUUGCACCGGAAAAACUUAGCGGGGAACGGGUGAGUAACACGUAAAGAACCUGCCUUAUAGUCUGGGACAUCUAUUGGAAACGAUAGCUAAUACCGGAUAACAGCAUUAAGUGCAGGGUUGAUGUUUGAAAGUUGGUUUUGCUAACAUUAUGAGAUGGCUUUGCGGUGCAUUAGCUAGUUGGUGGGGUAAAGGCCUACCAAGGCGACGAUGCAUAGCUGACCUGAGAGGGUGAUCGGCCACACUGGGACUGAGACACGGCCCAGACUCCUACGGGAGGCAGCAGUAGGGAAUCUUCCGCAAUGGGCGAAAGCCUGACGGAGCAACGCCGCGUGAGUGAAGAAGGAUUUCGGUUCGUAAAGCUCUGUUGUUAGGGAAGAAUGAUUGUGUAGUAACUAGACACCGUAGAGACGGUACCUAACCAGAAAGCCACGGCUAACUACGUG
RNAcentral lists this ribosomal RNA (499 nucleotides) under uncultured bacterium. RNAcentral describes it as "partial 16S ribosomal RNA". It matches the Rfam family "Bacterial small subunit ribosomal RNA", at positions 28 to 507 of the family's 1533-position model. The record is from RNAcentral.